This is a long non-coding RNA of Oncorhynchus nerka (sockeye salmon), 1847 nucleotides long. RefSeq lists it as uncharacterized. The transcript has 4 exons. NCBI's taxonomy places the organism in Eukaryota, Metazoa, Chordata, Actinopteri, Salmoniformes, Salmonidae. The record is from RefSeq and is a predicted model, not a curated record.
UCAAGUAGAAUUUUACUGGGUGACUUUUACUUUAGUAAUUUUCUAUGAAGGUACCUUUACUUUUACUCAAAUAUGACAAUUGGGUACUUUUUCCACCACUGCAAUUAUAGCUAUUCGUUUUCCCCAUGCAUCUGCCUGACACAACUUGUCAGUUGUUAGAUAGUAAAUUAGGAUGGAUAAAUCAGAAGCCAGCUAGCAAUGCCAAGUGCAUGCUUUUCACCAACAAAAAUCAUGUAUGUAUGUAAAAGAGACAAUUACCUUGAAGCAGAUAAUUUUUGUUUUAUUCCAGUACUUCAUACCAUGGAGUAAUAACUAGCUACUUGUUUGUAGAACCAGCGUCUUCACCUGAACGAAUUUCACAGGAAAGGUGUAGGUGCUGGCAAAAGCACAGGCUGCGUCAUGCACUUGAGGGGGCGUUUACUUACUAGAGCAUGUGCUUCACUUUUUAAAAAAUCUAGUAGCAAUUUGCAAGGGGUGUAUGUUUUAUUUAUAUUAUUGGCUAAUUUAUUUAUUUGAAACAUGGCCUUUAAGUUGUUCUCACACUAAUCAACCGCUAGUAGCUAGAUAGACCGCGUUUAAACAAAGUUUGGCGCAAAAGAUGCAGGAAAUAGCUAGCUAACAAGUUAGCCAGCUAACAUAGCUAGCUAAUAUCGUCCCUACACAGAAUGGUUACCAGCCGUCCUGCGCGCAGGUUGUUCACUUUAGGACUAGCCCAAGUUCAUCAUAUUUAGUUAGCUAUGGACUCAAUGCCUUUAAUACGAGGUGUUUUAUUGCGAAAUGACGACACGCCUUAUCAAAACCUCAACCGAGAAUUCGCAACGAGAAUGUCUUAUCCUAGCCCUGAGUCACCGUCUCCACAGGUACCCGACAUCACAGAGACCAGCGCUGGUCUGGAGUGGUUUGAAAUGGGCCUAGUGACCUCAUCUGGUCCCGCCAGGAGCACAACAGACCAGGGAGUACCGCGGUCUCCUUAUGUCACUGGAUCAGUCAGCACCCAAAGCUCUCCACUCAGCAACUUUGCAGUUCCAUCCACCCCAGUGCAGAGCUGGGGGAUCCCCCAUAAUCUGGAGGAGGAUCCAUGGACGGCUAGUCCUACACAGCGCAGAACACAACCAUCCCCCCUGGGUAACGAACCUUCAGAACCCCUGGCUCAAACUGUCCCUGUUAUCAGAAAGAGGAGGGUUUAUGCACUAGCCCAGCCAGUGAGAAGCGAAUCUGAAGAGGACCUAUCUAGUAAAGACGGGAUAUCGGAGAGGGGGAGCAGAAAAGGGAAAGACAGCAGACCCAUCCUGGGAGAUCUGUUUGAUUAACACACUGACUGAUUUGUAACUGCCGCUGACUUUUUAAUGUUUGAUUAUUUCCAAUGUAAUGCUGGUGAAGUAAUUUACAAUUCCUUACAGAUUACCUAGUUUGACCCCCUCCUGUUUGUAAUCUUUUUAAUCAGUUUUGCAAUGUGUCAUUGUUCUAAUAAAAUAUAAUCAAAAAGGUUGAAAUAGUAGAACAUUUAAAAUUCCCAGAGUGAAAUAGUAGUAUAGUGACAACCACUAAAUGUCACUGUUGUGUUAUUUCCUGUCUACCACUUUCCUCUCUGAUACUGCUGGGUGUGUGAGUGAGAGGUUAUCCUGUGAUCUUGUACUUCACUGAGAAAAAUGAAACAUGCACUAGUAGGUCAUCUUUAAUGGGUGUGAUCGUGUCUAAGAGGGCAUUGGGUCACCCCCUACUUCUUCUGACCCUUCAUCCUUCCAUGACAUAGAAAGAUGUGAAUAGACAAACACUGAAGUUUUUGUCUGAAUUGGAUGUGAAUUCAACAGGAUUGGGAAUGUCUAGGACAGAGAAGGGUAAUGACA